CUAAGAUCAAGAAGUCGUCGUAAUUAUGACAAGUCGAGCGGGGGAAGGUAGCUUGCUACUGGACCUAGCGGCGGACGGGUGAGUAAUGCUUAGGAAUCUGCCUAUUAGUGGGGGACAACAUCUCGAAAGGGAUGCUAAUACCGCAUACGUCCUACGGGAGAAAGCAGGGGAUCUUCGGACCUUGCGCUAAUAGAUGAGCCUAAGUCGGAUUAGCUAGUUGGUGGGGUAAAGGCCUACCAAGGCGACGAUCUGUAGCGGGUCUGAGAGGAUGAUCCGCCACACUGGGACUGAGACACGGCCCAGACUCCUACGGGAGGCAGCAGUGGGGAAUAUUGGACAAUGGGGGGAACCCUGAUCCAGCCAUGCCGCGUGUGUGAAGAAGGCCUUAUGGUUGUAAAGCACUUUAAGCGAGGAGGAGGCUACUUUAGUUAAUACCUAGGGAUAGUGGACGUUACUCGCAGAAUAAGCACCGGCUAACUCUGUGCCAGCAGCCGCGGUAAUACAGAGGGUGCGAGCGUUAAUCGGAUUUACUGGGCGUAAAGCGUGCGUAGGCGGCUUAUUAAGUCGGAUGUGAAAUCCCCGAGCUUAACUUGGGAAUUGCAUUCGAUACUGGUGAGCUAGAGUAUGGGAGAGGAUGGUAGAAUUCCAGGUGUAGCGGUGAAAUGCGUAGAGAUCUGGAGGAAUACCGAUGGCGAAGGCAGCCAUCUGGCCUAAUACUGACGCUGAGGUACGAAAGCAUGGGGAGCAAACAGGAUUAGAUACCCUGGUAGUCCAUGCCGUAAACGAUGUCUACUAGCCGUUGGGGCCUUUGAGGCUUUAGUGGCGCAGCUAACGCGAUAAGUAGACCGCCUGGGGAGUACGGUCGCAAGACUAAAACUCAAAUGAAUUGACGGGGGCCCGCACAAGCGGUGGAGCAUGUGGUUUAAUUCGAUGCAACGCGAAGAACCUUACCUGGCCUUGACAUACUAGAAACUUUCCAGAGAUGGAUUGGUGCCUUCGGGAAUCUAGAUACAGGUGCUGCAUGGCUGUCGUCA
This 1034-nucleotide ribosomal RNA is filed under the name Acinetobacter baumannii. Its description in RNAcentral is "bacterial SSU rRNA". It matches the Rfam family "Bacterial small subunit ribosomal RNA", at positions 23 to 1057 of the family's 1533-position model. Lineage: Bacteria; Pseudomonadati; Pseudomonadota; Gammaproteobacteria; Moraxellales; Moraxellaceae. The record is from RNAcentral.